GGCUAGGCUGCUGGGCAUUCUAACUUGAAAUUUGAGCACCAAGCACCAUGUCACCAGAUCAAUUGUCUCCUGUGUGUCCUCUGUGUUCCCUAACUAGCCUACAAGCUUCUCUGCGAGUGUAGGGGAUAGGGAAAACAGCUCGAUGGGGUAAGGCAGAUAGAGACUGGGCGGCUGGGUGGAAUGUAGAGGCAGGAAACGCAGCAACUGGAGGGGAAAAAAAGUCCCCAAACUUGACAGGACUUUUUCAAAGAAGGUAGAUAAAGAUUUGGAGUCGGUUUCAUUAAUUAUAUAUAACAAUCGGAAGAUCUGAUAAGAAUAAAAUUACCACGGGCGAUUGGAAUCAGAUUCUAGUCUAGUCCGGUCACCCUUAAUCAGGGAUGAGGCCAAAGGUGGAGAUCAACCCGCGACCGCUGUGGCGGCGACCGCGUGGGCGGCCCGGGGAUCUCGCCGCGCCCCCAGCCCGCCCCAUUUCCUCAGGCGCUCUCUGGAGGCGGAGGAGGGUGAAAGCUCGCGGAGGUCUUGCAUCAGACGAAAGGCGGUUCGCAGCCGCAGCUCCAGGAGGGCCUUCCCCAGAUGCUUCCCCAGCAACCACGCGACUGGCUGGGACUCGCCAGCGCCCCCCAGCGAAGGCCGAACGCAACCGGGAGGGCCAGCACCUAGAUGGGGAAGGCCAGUAGCUGGGCUCCACUCAGGGAGGCCACUUUGGCGCCCCUCCCCUCGAUGCUCAGGCUCCAGGUGAGACGAACAACGUGGUGGAAGAGUGUGGCAGAGGGAAGCAGCUCACAUGAUGAUCAAAAGAAUUCAUGAAUAGAAAGAGCUUGUCUGCAUGUUCAAAAAGAUGAGCUAAGGCCAGGAUGGCCUUGAAGUUAUGAUCCUCCAGAGAUGCUGGGAUUACAGGAGUACACCACCAUACUUGGUUUAAAAUUAUUUAUUUAUGAUCUUGCUGAGGUUUCCAGGAUGGCCUUGAACUGAAACAGCUCCUGAACGUUGUCCUGCUAAGAAAAAAAUUACCCCCUUGCCUGCAUGGUACCAAGAAAGCUGAAACUGGCAUGUCCUCUGGCCCGCAUAGCCUAAGUAAAUCUACAUAUUUUUAUUACCUGGCUUUUGUUUCUGGAAAUUGUAACCACUUUUGUAGGAUUAGCAGAGAAGUAAUGUAGCUGCUUCUCCCCAGUUUGGCCAAACUGCAUGAAAUUCCUUUUCCCUUUUAAUGUUGUUUACUUAUUUCCAAUGUGGAUGGACAGCUAAAUUUAACCAACUGGGAUCCAAACAGGGUCCUUGACUUGACUGGAGUAACAGAAUUUGUAAUCCUCGUGCCUCCACUUCUUAAAUAGCUGGGAUUACAUGUGUGUGCCUCCAGGCCUGGUUUAUGGAUUCUUUAA
Marmota monax (woodchuck) is the source of this 1379-nucleotide long non-coding RNA. RefSeq lists it as uncharacterized. The transcript has 5 exons. NCBI's taxonomy places the organism in Eukaryota, Metazoa, Chordata, Mammalia, Rodentia, Sciuridae. The record is from RefSeq and is a predicted model, not a curated record.